Molecule: transfer RNA, 77 nt
Filed under: Campylobacter lari
Lineage: Bacteria; Pseudomonadati; Campylobacterota; Epsilonproteobacteria; Campylobacterales; Campylobacteraceae
Also listed under: 1 other name
Description: tRNA-Arg
Rfam family: tRNA
About the family: Transfer RNA (tRNA) molecules are approximately 80 nucleotides in length. Their secondary structure includes four short double-helical elements and three loops (D, anti-codon, and T loops). Further hydrogen bonds mediate the characteristic L-shaped molecular structure. tRNAs have two regions of fundamental functional importance: the anti-codon, which is responsible for specific mRNA codon recognition, and the 3' end, to which the tRNAs corresponding amino acid is attached (by aminoacyl-tRNA synthetases). tRNAs cope with the degeneracy of the genetic code in two manners: having more than one tRNA (with a specific anti-codon) for a particular amino acid; and 'wobble' base-pairing, i.e. permitting non-standard base-pairing at the 3rd anti-codon position.
Source: RNAcentral
GCGCUCGUAGCUCAACUGGAUAGAGCGACAGACUUCGGAUCUGUAGGUUAUGGGUUCGAUUCCUAUCGGGCGCGCCA